Molecule: ribosomal RNA, 1150 nt
Filed under: Brevibacterium mcbrellneri ATCC 49030
Lineage: Bacteria; Bacillati; Actinomycetota; Actinomycetes; Micrococcales; Brevibacteriaceae
Description: 23S ribosomal RNA
Source: RNAcentral
GGUUUUGUUUUUAUGCUAUGUGAAGUGCUCGGUGUUUGGCGAUGCUUAAGCCGUUGAGGCUGGUUUUGAUUCGGUGGUUGUUGUAAAACUCGAUGUAUGUGGCGAUAGCGUUUUCGAGUUCUUGUGUGGUUCGCCAUUUUUUGCCGUAGUACAUUUCGUUUUUCAUCCGACCGAAGAAGCCUUCGCAUGCCGCGUUAUCAGGGGUACAACCUUUCUUCGACAUUGAUCGAACGAUCUGGUAUGCCGAAGUCAGUUGUUGCCAGGUUUUUCCGCGGUAGUGCGCGCCUCGGUCUGAGUGGAUGAUUAAAGACCCAUCUGCUGUAGGCCGUUCUGCGGUGAUUGCUGCAUGCAGUGUUUCUUCUGCUAGUUCCAUCGUGGGGUGAGUGCUUGUUUUUGCUGCUACGACCUUGCCGUCAAAACAGUCGAUGAUGGCAGAUAGGUAGACACGACCUUCGUUAGCUGUAAACACACUGAUAUCGGUAAGCCACAACCGGUUUGGACGAUCAGCGUGAAACUUACGGUUAACCAAGUUAGGCGGGGCUGGUGAGAUUUCUCCUUGAUAACUGGAAUACUUCCACUUACGCUUCGGAAACCGCGGGAUGAUCCCUUCUUCACGCAUCAGUCGUCUCACGACUUUUUCACUCAUGAUGAUCCCUCGAUGACGCAACUCCCACCAGAUACGCCUGUACCCGUAAGUGUUAUGCGACUGGUCACUGAUCUGAUGAAGCAGCUUGCGAACAUGAGCAUGCUUAUCAGGCAUACGGUGCUGCUGUACGUGGUAAUAAAAGCUUGAUGAUGCAAGACCAAUCACAGCCAGCAGUAAUGCAAGAGGAUACUGAGUACGUAAAGCGUCAACCACACAGGUCUUAGAACUAUUGCUCAGUUGACCGGGGAUGACGCUGUCGUCUUUUUUUAUAAGUUCCAGCUCCUCUUCCAACACAGCUUUCUCUACUAACAGCCGCGCCAUCUGCUUCUUCAGCUCGGCCGGAUCAUCAGGCAAAGACUUUUCAAAUGAGGCACGAGUCGGUGUGCGAGCACGUUGUGUACGUUCUUUUUUAGACAUCAACCCCCAUUCUCCCUCUUCUCGAUACAGUUGCACCCAGGAAUACACAUUCGACCGUGAACGCACACCACACCGGGCAACAAUCUC